AAACCCUAGCCUCCACUCCUUCUCCGUUUCCUCGCGCCGCCAUCCUCUCCACCCUCUUUGUCUCUUUUCUUCACGUACAGAGAGAGGCCCUAAACGCCUGCCUCCAUCUCUCCAUGGCGCCACCGCUACCGAUGCUCCCUCGCCGAGCUGAGACCACCUCUAGAACCGACUCAUCGUCCUCUACAUCCUCGUACAAAGAAUCGAUCGAGGAGGCCUUCAAUCGUCGCCAAUUCGACGAUUCCCUCUUGCUGGUCACCGUCUUUCUUCCUCAAUUCCGGCCACCUCGAACCUUCCCCGGCCGACACACCACCCGUCGUUGGCCCGCUGCUCCAAGGCGCAUCUCCGGCACCAUCCAUCUCGCCUCGGUUCAUCCUCGAACGCCAGAUCCGGGCUCACCUGCAAGUCCCUGCCAUGGCCCCAAGCUCCGCUCCUAUCUGCUUCAAGUAGUGCACGGCCCAUUUUCUUCAACAUCAAAACCAGCAGCCCAGUGAUCCAGCGCCUACUGGGCCUCGGCCCGUUUACCCGCCAACUUCUUCGACGCUGACAACGCGGCAGACAGCUUCCCACCGCCUAAUCGCAUUUGCUUCUUCCCGGAUAGGAUCGCGAAGUGGUGUUGUGAGAUACGACAAGUUCUUCUGCAGCUUUUCACAGGCGAGCCCUCCCUCUUCACCUAUUUUAUAUUUUGCUCUCCCUCUCACUGCUAUCCUUAUGUUGCGAUUCUUUAUCGAGUCACGUGUCCUAUUCCACUUGUUACCAUAAUAAUCCUAUAUGCACCAUUCCUUAUCCACAGCCGUUGCUUGAUGUUUGAGCCUUGCGAGUCGUAGGCGUGUUUAGGCUCUGUUGUUUAUCUCGAUCUGUUAUCGGGAUAUGUUGGGUUAUUGGGAGGUUAUCAUAUGCUAUAUCAGUUGUUGGAGAUACACAUGCUUUACUUAUUUGUUAACAACUAAAAUUGUAAGCAGAGGCAUCUGUGAGCCCCUUUGCGAAAGCAUCGGAACAUUGACUCGCUAAUGUCCCCUAGGACCCGAGUUCUUGUUAUCUGUUCCGAGAUUGAGCGCUCUACCCAUGCGUGGGGACGAUUAUUGGGACCCCCUCACCCAUUACCUUUUCUCAAGUUAGUUGAAAAGGGGGCCACAACCUUGGUUUUAUUUGCCUAUGCCAUGUAUGCCAUGCUUUACUUACUGUUGCCUUCGGGUGUUUACUUCCUGUUGCCUUUAGGUGUUUAUAUUCUGUACUGUACCCCGCGGAACGUUUAGCGGAGCGUGUGGUUUGCACGCCUAGCCGUUAACGCAAACCCUGAGUCCGCUUCGGAGUACGGCCGGACUUCGUCACGGGUAGCUUAGUCGGGUGGCCCCCUAGACUUUCUUGUUGAACUGGGAACGGUCUUGUUGUGAGACAUCCACCCGUCGUAGAUGGGUCGAGCAUGCGUAUGGUUACAUUUGGGCAACCCCUGCAGGGUGUACAUCUUAUCGAUAAGCCGUGUCCGCGGUUAUGGACGACAUGGAAUUGUAUAGUUCGAUCAUAGAACAACUUACACCUUAUACUUGUUGUUAAUAAUCUGAUAAUAACUUGAUUAGUAAUAUAGCAUUACUACAACCGACACCUAAUAAAACUUGUCAACCGUGGAGUGCCUUUUACAUUGCCUCUUCGCAAUUGUUGAAGGGGAUAUGUGUAUUUGGCAGGGUUAUGUUUGUGUAGUAUUUAUCUGUUACCUUAUGCGCUCUCUUACCUUCUCUGAUUAGACGGAUGUUGUAGCGUGUCUCUAUUGGUUAUAGUUUUGCUGCCGCCAAACCUACCAUAUAGCCCCAGGCGAUAUAUAGAUAUAUAUACUCGCCCGGCGAGCAUAGCCAUUUCUAGUCUCGCUAAGUACGUGCCGGAGUUCGUUCCUUGGUACUUACUCUCGCCUUUCCUUUUUCUCUUUUGCUUCCUCCCUUUUGUCGGCAACCGAUGGCCCGACUUUGACAGGUACGAGAUGACAACGUUAGCAAGGUUACCCUUCUGGCUUGGCCUGGGCAGGGUUAUGGACACCAUCGUUUAUCUUCAGGACUCUUAGUCCAAUUUGUAUCUUGUCCGUACUCGGACAUAUUUGAUCUUCUGUAUGAUUUGGAUCUUUGUAUGUAUCUAUUUGUACCUUGACCCGUUGGAGUCGUUGUUGUAAUAUAUGUUUCUCGUGGGCUCUAUUGUAAUCUUGUUGUAAUGUUACCGCUCGUGUAAAUUCCUCUGGCAUCACGUGUGUGAUUUGUCGCGCACGUCGUGUCGGAGGGCGUCUCAGAAUCGAUAUCGUGCGGAUUUCGGCGGGAUCGCUGAAAUCCUCAGGAUACCGGUUCCGGGGCAUCACAAGUUGGUAUCAAAGCUCAGGUUGACGGUACCCCACUAGUCCAGCCUGUAGGAUAACCUUGCCAACGAACGUUGUUGUGUCUAGUGUCAAAACUAUUUUCUGAAAAUUCGUUGGAUAGAUCUGAUUAGCUCUGAAUUUUCUCCUUACCUAAAUUCUUUCUCCUCUUACCUUUGCCAGUUUUGAGUUUUCUCUUAUCUGCUUCUCCGAGUCAUAGGUUUGACGUGGGUUGUACAAUCUUCGUCUUAUCCUAUUAGGUCCGAUCUUCGGAGGAUCCCGAUAGAAGUGCAACAUCAAUAGCGGAACAAUGACUUCUUGUUGGUGGUGUCGACCGUUCUACGUGGAGCAGCAAUCCUUGUUAGUGGUGUCGAGGAGAUCGACACGUCGCCCGAAGACCCGAUAGUUCAACAGACUACGGACUAAGCCCGUACCCACUUUGGAUAAUGUGGUUGCGUGAAUAAAAGUUGGGACGGCGAUCACUUAUACACAGUGCUCCUUUGAAAACAUAACCCACGCACUUCCUUUGUUUGCCAACAACCCACCAUAUUCCUCCGAACAACCUUGUUCAACACAUUUGCUUUUUUUCCAAAAACAUACACUCGGGUAGAGUUAACUUACCCAAGGUUUUCAUGAACAUUUACAACAAGGUAAGCCUUGAGGGGUUCCCAACCUAAAGUUUCAUGAGUUGAACUAGUAUUGCACUACGGCCAAGAUGAGAGUCAUCAUGCCAUAGAUGGUGUAAAAAGUGGGUAAUGGAAUGGGUCAUACUUUCUUAAGGUAAGCAUGUAUUAAGACAACACAAGAAGAAUGGUAUUUUCAGAUUUGGGGUGCUAAGUAUCAAACUUAGAUAAUGAUGUAUCACUAUCCAUCAUACACUCCAAUAGGGUACACGGCAUACUCUUCUUAGUUGAGAAUGCACCAAGAUCAUGACAAUGAUACCUCUAUACUACAAAAGGGGUGGGUGUGGUGUAAGUCAUUAUCUAGAGAUGAAACAUGCUCAAGUUGAGCAUACAAGAUAACCAAGUGGAAUAGCACGGCCUUAAUACCAUGCAUCCCAUAAUCACAAGACAAAAGUGGAGUAUCACCACUAGGGAGUACCCCACUAGCAACCAUACAUAGACAACAUAAAUAAAGAGAACAACACACAUAGAAUCAAUGUGCUUUGGACAUCAACACCUGACAUCCAACUAGACACCAAGUCAGAGAUCAAAAGAUGGCUUGCCUUGGCUUAUUUGUCCCUGGACUUCUUCAACCCCAACAAAUAAGAAUUCCAACAAUAUAAAUUAAAUCCUUGUCCGAUUCCACUUCUUCUUCUUCUUCUUCUUCUUCUCCGGAAUUGUUCGCAUCUAUCGCCGUAAAAUAUAAAAGGAACAAAAUCAAUCACAUUGCACCAACAAGACAACAUUCAACAAUCAACAACUAACUAUGUAGCCAAGGGAUAACAUAUUAAGGACUUAUAGAUACUACAAAACAACUUGAAGAGUUUUAAUUUAGAAAACACCAUUUAAGUACCUAGUAGAGGUAUGAGUGCAUCACAACUUAGCAAUUGCCUUUCUCGGUUAUCACCAUGGUAUAAACCAAUUGUCCCCUGGUAGAUAACAUCAUAAAGAGGACAAGUGCAUUAGUUGGACAUCAAAAACAUUCUCAAUACAUUUUCAAACAUUUUUGAAAAAGCAGGAAACCAUUCUUCCUGUUUUAUUUGGCUUACAAAACACUACCUAAAAAUAGGAAGUAAACAAUACACCACACCAUUAGAAAACUAAAGCAAAACAAUAGAGCUAAUGUUAAGUUGCAUAGGUUUUGUUUUGCAAGCAUAAAACAAAGGCUGCCCAUUUCUAAUAAAAAGAGUUGGUCAAAGGUUUUAAAAUAAACCAAAAAAAAUUGGACUAACAACUCAUAUAGCACACACAUGUUAAUAUCAGUAACCAAUAUGCAUGAUCAGAGACUAAAAGUUUUUUUCCUAGAUGUCCAAUACUAAUACAAGACUAACCUAAUUGGAAUCACUCAAAAAGGUUGAACCUAUAAUUUUAGGGCUUUGCUUCAAUCUGACUGUACAGAAAACAAGAUCUGUAUGCCAAAAAUCGUAGAAAAAUCCUAAAAAUAUGAGGUCAGUUGCAUCUGAAAGGUAUUGACAAUACGGUUCUAAUGUAAUUGGUUUCACUCGCAAAUUCAUAUCCAAGAUCCUGGUCUAAACAGACAAAGUCAGAUCUGGCCAGAACUUGAUCUGUCAACCAUUUUAAUUUUAGGUGGUCAUAUGAGGUGAGACCAACAGAAAAAUGAAGCUGCUCGAUAGGGCUUUCAUCUCCAGUUGAGUUUGCUCAAAAACAAGACAAUACAUCUACCGACAGAUCAAAGCAAUACAUAUUGAUAAACAGAUCAAGGCAAUUCAUCUAAUUAGCCUAUAGAAAAAGUUUUUGUUCCCCCUAAUUUUUGCAAUGAGGACAACUAGUCAAGGUUGCAAAAGUUGGGGUGUUACAACAACCUGGGGGUUGGCGCUGGCGGAGGGGAGAUCUACAAAGAAACCAUGUAUGAGGAAGCAAAAGAGCAAAAUACCUCAAGUAUAGUGACCUCAUCGUCUGAACCGGAAGCGUUGGUUGACAAGUUACCAGGGCGCGAGGUGUGGGUCCGGCCCAUCUUGUGCUUGUUCCCGACCACGUAGGGAUCCGGAUCAACCUCGUCCACGGGGCGCCUCAGGCCAGGGGCUCGUGCCUCCGCUGCGAUGCGGGGGAAGCGGGUGCAAGCCUGGAAAAACAGAAAAAGGAUGAUUAGUUAAACAUCAAAAGUUACCGGAAAAACAAUCCGGAUUGCUCAAGAUCUUACUUCGUCAGUUGGGGGAUUGGUGUAGCUGAGGGGGAGGAGGCCCCAUUCCCAGUCCUCCGGCAUGUUAGUUUGGCAAAUUUUCCUAGCCUUAAGGACUACGUCCGUUUUGCUUAGGAGGCAGCCGGUGAUCUUGGUGGGGUCACGGGGGCCAUACAUCUGGCUCAUCUUGUGAGCCCGACGCUGGAGGGGAAGCACCCGACGUGAAAUGAACGCGCGGAUGAUAUCAUCGGAACAAAUGUCCGUGUCUUUGAGGAGCUUCUCCAUGAACCGCACAAUUUGGUUGGUUUCAAUAUGGGAGUUCCCCGGAUUGUGCCUCCAGUUGACCCUCGACGGCGUCCCUGGAUGAUAAGCCGGCAGAUUGAUGAAAUCGGCGUUGCCCUUGUUCUUCACAUAGAAGAAAGUCUGUUGCCAUGCCCUGCAUGACUCCAGACCGGAAAAUUUAAAGAAGGGGCUCCCCUGGCGAGCGCUGAUAAUGCAAGCCCCGCACUGAUCCGGCGGCUUCGGCUUGGGGAGGUUCUUGUCCUGGAUCGAGUUGAUCCGAAGACAAAAGAAGCGAGCGAAAGCUUAAAGAGUGGGGAGGAGACCAAUGUAGGCCUCCAUAAAAGAAACGAAGAAAGAAAGAUAGAAGAUGGCAUUGCCAGGAAGAUGGUGAGGUUGGAGUUCAUAGAAAUUGAGGAAUUGGCGAAAGAAAUCAGACGCCGGAAGGCCGAAGCCGCGCUCGAAGUGAGCGGUGAAAACUACGUGUUUCUUCGGGUUGAGGCGCGGGCUCUCCCUCGUUGCCUGGAAUCCGGCAAGAUACCUGUUCCGGUAUCCUGCGGGAGCGGUACAGCCAGUCGAUUUCCGGCUGCUUCACGUCGGAGCCCUUCCAGGCGCCGCGGGUGUACGCAGCUAGAUCCACACCGGAGCCUUGGCCGGAGCUGCUGGCCUCCUGGCCCCUUCCGGUACCGGCUUGUCGAGCGGAUGAGGAGGCAUCCAUCUGGGCGAGUUCAGCCUCGAGCCCGUCUGAUGCCUCACCGAUAGAAAUCCCCUCUUCGAUAUAGGCGGUGGGGGUUUCGAUGUGGCGGCUGCUGGCGCUGGGCUCGGAAAGAUACAGAUCGGUAGACAUUUUGGGUUAAGGAUUCCGAGAUCUACCCACAAACAGAUUUCCGCAAACCUAGCAGCUUUUGAAGGUCUACGAGAGAGAGAAAAACCAGAAAAAGGGGAAAGUAAAUACUCUACCGGCCCAAAAGCGGAGCAACGAAGAAGCAAGAAGCGAUUGAGUUAGUGGGGCUAACCUGGAACGGCGGAGAACGAUGAGGACGAUGAGCGCCAGAGUAGGGCGAGACUGCAGGCAGCAGUGAAGAACUAAGAAGAGGAAAAGAGUGUCGCGGCAGCGCUCUGAGAUGAAGAGGCGGAGGAGCUGCGGAGAGUCUGCGCGGAGCAGAGCUUCACGGGGCUUCUUCGGAGGGUCGCCGGAGAGCGGAGCGUCGGCGGCGAGCAACGGCGAAGAGGGCGCAGAGGGCUAAGGGCUCGAUGCGCGUGAGAAGGUGGAGAAUGCGAAGGAGGAGCAAAAGAGGAACCGCUACUCCCUUAAGUAGAGAGAGGGGGUCGUGGGCCGGUAACGGUCGGGCCACGACGCUUCGCCUCGCGGGCCGCGACGUGGCGCACCGAUACACGCGCAGAAAAUCAAAAGCCACAAGGAGGCCGCACGGAUCCGAAACGGCCGCAGGGAUCCGUUGUGGCGCAGUUAAUGCGACGAAGAAGCCGAAGGGAAGUGACCACUGACACUGGCGCGUCAGAAACAGUGCGCAUGUCACUGACGGGCACUGUUUCCGAGAUAUUCUCGACUUCGCCGAGGAGAGUUUAAUGACCGAGCAACCGGAGAAGGCCGGUACGAUGAGAUAAGUCCGGCAGAGAAGCCGGGAAGUUGGAAUUGGUUUCCGGACGGAUUAAACCUGUACACAAAGAGAUGGGAAACUGGCAUGGUCCGUCGGAUGGGAUCCGGCGGACUAUACCAGCUUCGGGGACUAAUGUUGGCGGGAUGACCCCCGGUAUGCCAAAGGCAUGCCGAACUUAGCCUUGGGAAGGCUAUCAAUGUACCGGUUUAAGGGUUAUUCCGGAUAACAAAGGUUGGUUUGUGGUUAA
Lolium perenne is the source of this 7276-nucleotide long non-coding RNA. RefSeq lists it as uncharacterized. NCBI's taxonomy places the organism in Eukaryota, Viridiplantae, Streptophyta, Magnoliopsida, Poales, Poaceae. The record is from RefSeq and is a predicted model, not a curated record.